AUUGAACGCUGGCGGCAGGCCUAACACAUGCAAGUCGAGCGGAUGAAGGGAGCUUGCUCCUGGAUUCAGCGGCGGACGGGUGAGUAAUGCCUAUGAAUCUGCCUGGUAGGGGGGGAUAACGUCCGGAAACGGGCGCUAAUACCGCAUACGUCCUGAGGGAGAAAGUGGGGGAUCUUCGGACCUCACGCUAUCAGAUGAGCCUAGGUCGGAUUAGCUAGUUGGUGGGGUAAAGGCCUACCAAGGCGACGAUCCGUAACUGGUCUGAGAGGAUGAUCAGUCACACUGGAACUGAGACACGGUCCAGACUCCUACGGGAGGCAGCAGUGGGGAAUAUUGGACAAUGGGCGAAAGCCUGAUCCAGCCAUGCCGCGUGUGUGAAGAAGGUCUUCGGAUUGUAAAGCACUUUAAGUUGGGAGGAAGGGCAGUAAGUUAAUACCUUGCUGUUUUGACGUUACCAACAGAAUAAGCACCGGCUAACUUCGUG
Molecule: ribosomal RNA, 484 nt
Filed under: uncultured bacterium
Lineage: Bacteria
Description: partial 16S ribosomal RNA
Rfam family: Bacterial small subunit ribosomal RNA
Source: RNAcentral